RNAcentral lists this ribosomal RNA (142 nucleotides) under Mycobacterium tuberculosis. RNAcentral's name for it is "partial 23S ribosomal RNA". It matches the Rfam family "Bacterial large subunit ribosomal RNA", at positions 1 to 145 of the family's 2925-position model. Lineage: Bacteria; Bacillati; Actinomycetota; Actinomycetes; Mycobacteriales; Mycobacteriaceae. The record is from RNAcentral.
GGUUAAGUUAAUAAGGGCGCACGGUGGAUGCCUUGGCACUAGGAGCCGAAGAAGGACGUGACAAACGACGAUAUGCCUUGGGUAGCUGUAAGUAAGCGAUGAUCCAGGGAUUUCCGAAUGGGGGAACCCAACAGGUACUACC